This 400-nucleotide long non-coding RNA is filed under the name Lathyrus oleraceus (garden pea). RNAcentral's name for it is "Pisum sativum (pea) long non-coding RNA (PSAT_LNC013644)". The record is from RNAcentral. Lineage: Eukaryota; Viridiplantae; Streptophyta; Magnoliopsida; Fabales; Fabaceae.
ACCUUUGGGAGAAAAUAGCACAAGGAGUUUAUUGCAGUCAAUAUACCCGCUGUUUCCGGCUUGACAUGAAGUUAUGUAUUUGGAUCAUAGGCUAGGACUUCCCCUUUGGCAAUUUGCAAACAGUUGUAACUCAUAUUUGUAACACAUAAACGUAUGGACGUGUAUGUAUUAUUCUUCAAAUUUGUGCAUUCCUAUAUGCUUGAAUUUUAGCAGUAAACAUGAUGUUCAUUGUGGGUAAACACGCCUGAGCUGGCUUUGUAGAUAUAGUAUGAACAAGAUUUGUGUAUUGGUUCACAAAGGUUCCUGUAAUGUAAUUUUGGCCUUUGAAAUGAACAUGGUUUAUAUUAACUUGUGUAUGGAAGUGUAAGCUAGAUCAGUGGAUUAAUGAUUUAUUGAUCAA